RNAcentral lists this long non-coding RNA (297 nucleotides) under Drosophila guanche. The record is from RNAcentral. Lineage: Eukaryota; Metazoa; Arthropoda; Insecta; Diptera; Drosophilidae.
UCAAUUUGUGCUAUUCAAUAGUAUUUGAGUAUAUUAUAAAGAUGAAAAGCCCAACAAAAAAGUUUAAGGGUACACGAGAUAGCAUAUUGAAAAAAAAUCAUGGAAAGACAUCUAAAGUUUUGUUUCUCAAAGGGCAACAGACAUAUGCUUAUUAACUAAUAAGCACAUUAUGUAUUGCCCAAAUUCUCAAUGUUCUCGACGACUAAGUAAACAUAUUGUUGAAUCAAAAGAUAUUAUGUAAUCUCUCUGCCGUAUUUAUACAACAAUACAUUAAAUAGUGUCAAACCACACUUAGAC